CCCUAUGACCAAAUCGCACUGAAUGUGCCUAAUCUUGUCGGAUCUCAAAAGCUAAGCCGGCGUGAGCAUGGUUGCUACUCCGAUGGGGGAGUGUCUGGGAAUUCACAUGGUGGCCUACACU
RNAcentral lists this ribosomal RNA (121 nucleotides) under Petromyzon marinus (sea lamprey). The record is from RNAcentral. Lineage: Eukaryota; Metazoa; Chordata; Hyperoartia; Petromyzontiformes; Petromyzontidae.